AACGAACGCUGGCGGCAGGCUUAACACAUGCAAGUCGAACGGGUGUCGCAAGGCAUCAGUGGCAGACGGGUGAGUAACACGUGGGAACCUUCCUCGGGGUACGGAACAACGCAGGGAAACUUGCGCUAAUACCGUAUACGUCCGUGAGGAGAAAGAUUUAUCGCCCUGAGACGGCCCGCGUCGGAUUAGCUAGUUGGUGGGGUAACGGCCUACCAAGGCGACGAUCCGUAGCUGAUCUUAGAGGAGAUCAGCCACACUGGGACUGAGACACGGCCCAGACUCCUACGGGAGGCAGCAGUGGGGAAUCUUGGACAAUGGGCGCAAGCCUGAUCCAGCCAUGCCGCGUGAGUGAAGAAGGUCUUCGGAUUGUAAAGCUUCUUUUUACCAGGGACGAUAAUGACGGUACCUGGAG
This 412-nucleotide ribosomal RNA is filed under the name uncultured bacterium. Its description in RNAcentral is "bacterial SSU rRNA". It matches the Rfam family "Bacterial small subunit ribosomal RNA", at positions 29 to 484 of the family's 1533-position model. The record is from RNAcentral.